GCCGGCCUGACAUGCGCAGUGCGCGAGUGCUGCGGCGGCCGGGAGGUGCCGCGGUCCCGGGCACACCUGGCGGCCUGGGACGUGGAGGAAUUCUUACGAAGUGUGGGGGGAAGAAGCCCAUCAGUAGUUUCCUAGUGUGAUGAAAUGAUUUUGGAAAUUACACUUAACAGCGGAUGGAGCUGACAUCGUGAGAGCCUGCAGCCUGGUGCCUGCGGGGCUGGAGGGCAGCUGGGCCCCUGUAAGGCCCGCGGUCGAGGUGGGUUAGGACGCGGCCCCAAACGGGUGUAUCCGCUCUGUGCCCGGUCGUCCAGUUUUCCCUCCCGAGGACGCAAGGCGCAGAAGCCGCUGGGGAAGAGGACAGGCCAGAGUCUGCUGGGUUGACACGGGGUGAAAACGUAAUUGAAAAUCUUGAGCAAAAGUGGGAUUGUUUUUGCUUUGAGGGAAGCAGCGUCGGACGCUGUGGGAAGCCUGGCGCCCCAGGCCCUCCUCGAGUAUGGGGGAGAGAGAGGUCUUUGUGGUCUUGUGGUAUGUUUUUCAUACGUUCAGAAUCUGAUUUUCAUUAAAAUGGCAAGAUCAGUACCGUCAAAUUAGGAACGACUGUCCGCUAAUCCUUCAGAAGUUGUUGGAAGUUAUGCUUUCUGUGUGUUAAACGUUAUAUCUAGACUCGCAGUUCGUACGCUUGAUGUUCCACUCAGCUCUGGCCACGCUGGCUGUCCAUCUCCCGGAACUGCAUUUCCAGGUUAAACACAAAAUGCAGCCUGAACUCCUGGUCAGUCACGCGUUUCCAAAGAUAAAGGAAAGCAGCUUCUUGUAGGGAGGAGGUGGGCGUGGCGGGGCCUGCAGAGCGGGGGCAGCUUCUCUGAAUACACGGAGCAGACCCUGCGUGACCUUUGCCUGCCGAUACCGGGACAGUCCACGUUAGGCUGUUGACCGUGCAGAGCACAGCUGGGCCCCAAGCCUGUGUUGGCCUCUCAGCAGCGAAAGCGUUGGGGAGGGUUAUAAAUCAUCCUCCUGCCUAGAACCAAGGAGGGCCCACGGGCAGGUCCUACGCGUGGACAUCAGAGCUCCUGCAGAGGCCAGCCAGCCAGGGCCUGUUUGCUCCCUGGAUAUGGGCGAGAUCAACCCAAAAGCUUAGCCGAGAUUCUGGGAAGCAGUGAGA
Long non-coding RNA from Balaenoptera musculus (blue whale), 1159 nucleotides. RefSeq lists it as uncharacterized. The transcript has 3 exons. The record is from RefSeq and is a predicted model, not a curated record. NCBI's taxonomy places the organism in Eukaryota, Metazoa, Chordata, Mammalia, Artiodactyla, Balaenopteridae.